RNAcentral lists this ribosomal RNA (381 nucleotides) under uncultured eukaryote. Its description in RNAcentral is "partial 18S ribosomal RNA". It matches the Rfam family "Eukaryotic small subunit ribosomal RNA", at positions 592 to 976 of the family's 1831-position model. The record is from RNAcentral.
CAAUAGCGUAUAUUAAAGCUGUUGCGGUUAAAAAGCUCGUAGUUGGAUUUCUGUCAAGGACAACUGGUCCGCCCUCCGGGUGAGCACAUAGUUUGGUAUUGACAUCUUGCUGGAAGCUGUUGCUGCACUUGGCUGUGUGGCGCAGUGUUCAGCACUUUCACUUUGAGGAAAUUGGAGUGUUUCAAGCAGGCACAUGCCUUUGGACACAGUAGCAUGGAAUAAUUAGAUUGGGCUUUUGCUCCAAUUUGUCGGUUUCUGGAGCUGAGGUGAGUAUUAAUGGGGAUUGUUGGGGGCAUCCGAAUUUAGCCGUCAGAGGUGAAAUUCUUGGAUCUGCUAAAGACGGACAACUGCGAAAGCGUUUGCCCAGGAUGUUUUCAUUGA